CCUACGGGAGGCAGCAGUGAGGAAUAUUGGUCAAUGGGCGCAAGCCUGAACCAGUCAUGCCGCGUGAAGGAUGAAGGUUCUAUGGAUUGUAAACUUCUUUUAUUUGGGAAUAAUGUGCUCCUUGCGAGGGGUAAUGACGGUACCAUUAGAAUAAGCCACGGCUAACUACGUGCCAGCAGCCGCGGUAAUA
This 190-nucleotide ribosomal RNA is filed under the name uncultured bacterium. Its description in RNAcentral is "partial 16S ribosomal RNA". It matches the Rfam family "Bacterial small subunit ribosomal RNA", at positions 338 to 525 of the family's 1533-position model. The record is from RNAcentral.